This is a long non-coding RNA of Nicotiana attenuata, 732 nucleotides long. RefSeq lists it as uncharacterized. The record is from RefSeq and is a predicted model, not a curated record. NCBI's taxonomy places the organism in Eukaryota, Viridiplantae, Streptophyta, Magnoliopsida, Solanales, Solanaceae. The transcript is spliced from 2 exons.
CUAAUGUCUAACUUUUAAAUACGUGAAACGAAACAAAUUAUACCCACAACGGCGGCUCCCGUGAUAUAAUUCUUCUAGGUCUCCUUCACUUUGCUCCCAUCGUUGAGUUCUUGCUGGCCUUUGGAAUCCCCUGCUAAUGGUGCCUAAUCCGUCGAUUGUUUCUUUUCUGCCUUUGAUACUAUCGUAGACAAGAAGGAUUGAGAAAGCAAAGUUGCGACUUGGGACGAGAAGGCUACAGACGAUAUAUUAUUUAAAAUUAAGAUAAGAUUUCCUUCUGAAGUUCGAUGUCUCCACUGAUUCGAAUAUGAAGUCUUUCGAUCUCUCUUUCUCUGCUACAUUCAGGGAAUUUAUUACUUAACGUUGGAAUUCUGCAAUAAUUAUUGGUAUUAGCCAUCAUUUGAUCAUCACCUUGGACAAUCUUUUUCUUGCAAUUCAGGAGAUUACCAAAUGAGUAGGCACUCAAGCGACUUGGGGAGGAAGCUCCUACAAGAAAGUAGCAGAAGGAGUGGAAAACAGAGGUGAAGAAGUGAAAAUAUCUCUUGUCCCAAUAUUAGUUUGAAUCCAGCAAUGUUUAAUUGUAAAGAUGUAUAAUUUUAUUCUUGUAUAGGGAUCUUAUGUUUGCAAAUAUUUUAUUUUUGUUUAAAUUGUUUAUGGUGAAUGACAUUUGUAAGUACAAUUUGAACUUUGACGGUAAUACUUUCCUGUUAAUGAAAUAAAAUUUUAGUUUCUACA